Molecule: ribosomal RNA, 438 nt
Filed under: uncultured bacterium
Lineage: Bacteria
Description: bacterial SSU rRNA
Rfam family: Bacterial small subunit ribosomal RNA
Source: RNAcentral
UGAGGAAUAUUGGUCAAUGGGCGCGAGCCUGAACCAGCCAAGUCGCGUGAGGGAAGACGGUCCUAUGGAUUGUAAACCUCUUUUGUCGGGAGGCAAAGAUCAGCCACGUGUGGCUAUUGGAGAUGUACCCGAAGAAAAAGCAAUCGGCUAACUCCGUGCCAGCAGCCGCGGUAAUACGGAGGAUGCGAGCGUUAUCCGGAUUUAUUGGGUUUAAAGGGUGCGUAGGCGGAAGUUCAAGUCAGCGGUAAAAUAGUGGUGCGUCAACAGCCAUCGAGCCGUUGAAACUGAAUUUCUUGAGUGAGCGAGAAGUAUGCGGAAUGCGUGGUGUAGCGGUGAAAUGCAUAGAUAUCACGCAGAACUCCGAUUGCGAAGGCAGCAUACCGGCGCUCAACUGACGCUGAAGCACGAAAGCGUGGGUAUCGAACAGGAUUAGAUACC